GCAUAAGCGCACGGUUCCGCAUGGAACAGUGUGAAAAACUCCGGUGGUAUACGAUGGAUCCGCGUCUGAUUAGCCAGUUGGCGGGGUAACGGCCCACCAAAGCGACGAUCAGUAGCCGGCCUGAGAGGGUGAACGGCCACAUUGGGACUGAGACACGGCCCAAACUCCUACGGGAGGCAGCAGUGGGGAAUAUUGCACAAUGGGGGAAACCCUGAUGCAGCGACGCCGCGUGAGUGAAGAAGUAUUUCGGUACGUAAAGCUCUAUCAGCAGGGAAGAAAAAAAGUCCUUUGGACUUUGGACGGUACCUGACCAAGAAGCCCCGGCUAACUACGUGCCAGCAGCCGCGGUAAUACGUAGGGGGCAAGCGUUAUCCGGAUUUACUGGGUGUAAAGGGAGCGUAGACGGCAGCGCAAGUCUGAAGUGAAAGCCCGUGGCUCAACCGCGGAACUGCUUUGGAAACUGUAUAGCUUGAGUACUGGAGAGGCAGGCGGAAUUCCUAGUGUAGCGGUGAAAUGCGUAGAUAUUAGGAGGAACACCAGUGGCGAAGGCGGCCUGCUGGACAGAAACUGACGUUGAGGCUCGAAAGCGUGGGGAGCAAACAGGAUUAGAUACCCUGGUAG
This 621-nucleotide ribosomal RNA is filed under the name uncultured bacterium. RNAcentral describes it as "bacterial SSU rRNA". It matches the Rfam family "Bacterial small subunit ribosomal RNA", at positions 171 to 793 of the family's 1533-position model. The record is from RNAcentral.